CCUACGGGGGGCAGCAGUGAGGAAUAUUGGUCAAUGGCCGGAAGGCUGAACCAGCCAUGCCGCGUGAAGGUCAGUGCCCUAUGGGCGUUAAACUUCUUUUGUGCGGGAGCAAUAAUGGUCACGUGUGGCCAGACGAGAGUACCGUACGAAUAAGCAUCGGCUAACUCCGUGUCAGCAGCCGCGGUAAUACGGGGGAUGCAAGCGUUAGCCGGAUUUAUUGGGUUUAAAGGGUGCGUAGGCUGUGAGGUAAGUCAGCGGUGAAAUGCCCCCGCUCAACGGGGUGAAGUGCCAUUGAUACUGCCUGGCUGGAAUGCUGAUGCCGUGGGAGGAAUGUGUGGUGUAGCGGUGAAAUGCAUAGAUAUCACACAGAACACCGAUUGCGAAGGCAUCUCACGAAUCCGCGAUUGACGCUGAUGCACGAAAGCGUGGGUAUCAAACAGGAUUAGAUACCCCGUAGUC
RNAcentral lists this ribosomal RNA (459 nucleotides) under uncultured bacterium. RNAcentral describes it as "partial 16S ribosomal RNA". It matches the Rfam family "Bacterial small subunit ribosomal RNA", at positions 338 to 795 of the family's 1533-position model. The record is from RNAcentral.